Molecule: ribosomal RNA, 468 nt
Filed under: uncultured bacterium
Lineage: Bacteria
Description: partial 16S ribosomal RNA
Rfam family: Bacterial small subunit ribosomal RNA
Source: RNAcentral
GACGAACGCUGGCGGCGUGCUUAACACAUGCAAGUCGAACGGAAAGGCCCUGCUUUUGUGGGGUGCUCGAGUGGCGAACGGGUGAGUAACACGUGAGUAACCUGCCCUUGACUUUGGGAUAACUUCAGGAAACUUGGGCUAAUACCGGAUAGGAGCUCCUGCUGCAUGGUGGGGGUUGGAAAGUUUCGGCGGUUGGGGAUGGACUCGCGGCUUAUCAGCUUGUUGGUGGGGUAGUGGCUUACCAAGGCUUGGACGGGUAGCCGGCCUGAGAGGGUGACCGGCCACAUUGGGACUGAGAUACGGCCCAGACUCCUACGGGAGGCAGCAGUGGGGAAUAGUGCACAAUGGGCGGAAGCCUGAUGCAGCAACGCCGCGUGCGGGAUGACGGCCUUCGGGUUGUAAACCGCUUUCGCCUGUGACGAAGCGUGAGUGAUGGUAACGGGUAAAGAAGCACCGGCUAACUACGUG